This 420-nucleotide ribosomal RNA is filed under the name bacterium. RNAcentral's name for it is "partial 16S ribosomal RNA". It matches the Rfam family "Bacterial small subunit ribosomal RNA", at positions 355 to 776 of the family's 1533-position model. The record is from RNAcentral.
UGGGGGAUAUUGCACAAUGGGCGAAAGCCUGAUGCAGCGACGCCGCGUGGGGGAUGAAGGCUUUCGGGUUGUAAACCUCUUUCGCUAUCGAACAAGGCCCGCUUAGGGUGGGUUGAGGGUAGGUGGAGAAGAAGCGCCGGCUAACUACGUGCCAGCAGCCGCGGUAAUACGUAGGGCGCGAGCGUUGUCCGGAAUUAUUGGGCGUAAAGGGCUUGUAGGCGGCUUGUUGCGCCUGCUGUGAAAACGCGGGGCUUAACUUCGCGCGUGCAGUGGGUACGGGCAGGCUUGAGUGUGGUAGGGGUGACUGGAAUUCCAGGUGUAGCGGUGGAAUGCGCAGAUAUCUGGAGGGACGCCGAUGGAUAAGGCAGGUCACUGGGCCAUUACUGACGCUGAGGAGCGAAAGCAUGGGUAGCGAACAGG